UCUCCUUCUCCUCUGCCGCCGCCGCUCCUCUCCAUCGGCCGACCAACUCCCACGAGUCAUCGCCUCUCGAUCCUCCUCCUCUGUGUGUGUGUGUGCUCGAUCCGGAUCCACCCCUUUCCUGGGUGCAGCUUAGAUGAGAGCUCCACUUUCCUGGGUGCAGCAUAGAGGAGAGGAUGGGCACGGCAAACAGAACUUGAACGCCGGAUGGAUGAAUACUGGCGCUGCCGGGCGCAGACAUCAUUCUCCUCCUGGCCGAGCUCCUCCACAACACCCCGUCUGCAACCCAUGUUUGAUGUGCCGCAGGCUGGAUGGGGACGCGUGGACCUCCUGCUCCUCCCGACCAAGCUUGAUUGUGUGUGCGACCUGCUGACGGCGCUCGGGGUGAUGGUGUUUGAGCUUUGAGGUAGGAUAGCAGGAGCGGUGACUAGCAUCAAGGAGGAGCAGCAAGAAGCAGCGACAACUAGCUAGCUGCUAGCAUGCGCCCCUCUCUCUCAUGUACAUGGAUUUGUAAUGGGAAAGUACUUUCUCGGUUCUUUCUUUAGUGUGAACCAUCUUUUGCUAUUCAUGAGCAUCCACCCACAACCUGUUUGAUGUUAUGCGUACAACAGACUGAGACACAUUUUAAUUUUCUGGUCAAACUCUUACCUCUAUUUAGAAAAUGAAAAUGAAGAAGCAUGUGUAUCUGAUGUCGGAUAUGCACCUUAAACAAGUGUACCUGAUGUUCCAAGCUUACAAUAUGAUCUACACUGAAGCCAAACCGAGCCAGGUGAAAUAGAAGUUGAUAGAUUAUUCCGGCGACAUGGCUUCAAUAUAUAUCAUUCGGAAAUAUGCUUGCGCGGCUCUGCCUAUAUGUUUACAACUUGCAAAUGGCCUGAUUUUAUCAGUUGUUGCUUGAUUAAAGAUCAACCAGUUUAUGUCUGACAUUUGUGUUUCUACAUUUAUGCAGUACCAUUCCAGAGCUCAAGGCAUCGGGUACGCUUUACACAUAGAGUCUCGCUCAGUUUAGUUUCCAUGUAGUGUUAAAUUCAGGUGAGCUAUAUUCAUUACAAAUAGUAAGCUAAAGUAGAUUAAAAAAAGAUGAUAGAUUUGCUCAAUCCAUGUUCAGUUGCUAAACUGACCAAGAGCUGCACUUCAAAGAGCCAACUGUUCAAUAUAAAUCAGCCAUAACUUUGUUAGUUUU
Triticum urartu is the source of this 1180-nucleotide long non-coding RNA. RefSeq lists it as uncharacterized. NCBI's taxonomy places the organism in Eukaryota, Viridiplantae, Streptophyta, Magnoliopsida, Poales, Poaceae. The record is from RefSeq and is a predicted model, not a curated record.